AACGCACGAGACCUGCGGACCUGCGGAAGGAUCAUUACCGAGUUUACAACUCCCAAACCCCAAUGUGAACAUUACCUUUACUGUUGCUUCGGCGGGAUCGCCCCGGGCGCGGCCGAGAGGCCCAGCCCCGGACCCAACGUGCGCCCGCCGGAGGACCCCCAGACUCCAUGUUUCUUGCAAGGUAUUUCUGAGCUGCUCCUAGCGAGCAAAACAAAAAAUGAAUCAAAACUUUCAACAACG
Molecule: unclassified non-coding RNA, 240 nt
Filed under: soil metagenome
Description: partial contains 5.8S ribosomal RNA, internal transcribed spacer 2, and large subunit ribosomal RNA
Source: RNAcentral